RNAcentral lists this unclassified non-coding RNA (335 nucleotides) under Hevea brasiliensis (rubber tree). Lineage: Eukaryota; Viridiplantae; Streptophyta; Magnoliopsida; Malpighiales; Euphorbiaceae. The record is from RNAcentral.
GUACCAAAGUGGGUUCAAUUGAUCAAAUAACAGAAAAUAAAGAAGAUCACUUUGAAAGGGAUAAUGAUGUUUCCAGGCAUACUGGAAGCUUUAAACAUAAGGAUAGUGAUAGAGGGGGAGCAGAGCAGAAUUCUGAGAUUGUUCUGCCUCAGAGAAAGAGAAUUUCUUUGACAAGAAUGUCUGACACUUCUAUAUGGAUUACUGGUGAAAGCGGGUCUAUCUAUGAGAGAUUCUGGAAUGGUGUACACUGGGUGAUAGCACCCCAUGACCUGCCGGUAUCGGCAGGUUAUGCAAUUUGUGUCUUUAUUGUCAAUCAGACAAUUCUUGCUCUAUCA